Molecule: long non-coding RNA, 950 nt
Filed under: Gallus gallus (chicken)
Lineage: Eukaryota; Metazoa; Chordata; Aves; Galliformes; Phasianidae
Source: RNAcentral
CCGAUGGUGGAGCGUUGGCUCCUGGCUCUUCGCCUCCAGCCUCCUCCGCUCCGCCGUUUCCUCCUCGGAUUCGAGCGCGUCGAAGACGGCGGCUCCCACCAGCAGCCAGCUCUGCUCAGUGCCGGCGGAUGGCUCCGUUCCCUGAUGUGAUGGCUGCUGACACCGAGCUGUUCCUGACCUGUGAGCUGCUCUGCCUCUGCAGCAGCAGGGUGGCUGCAGUCCCUGAGGACGAGACACGGGUCUAGGGGGUGGGCAACCUCCUUCCCUCUUCGACAAACCCACCAGGGCAGCCAACAUGUGGUGUGGGGUGCAAGGACCCUCCCCAAUGCCCUCCCGUGCCCCAGAACAAACCCUGCCCAGCAGGAGCCGCGUGAUCCCUUAAAAACCCAAUGAAAACACCAAAACGGUUGUUCGUGCCAUCUGGAGCAAAAGAAAAUGGAAUUUUAAUUAAAAACUCAUGAGCUCGUUGCUAUAAAUACAUCGUCUUGUUGUAAGUUAUUCACCCACCAGGAACACAGAGGUCUGAUCCCGGGCACAGCCGGAGGAGCAGGGUUGUUUUCUCGUUGCUGUUUUGCCUUGCUUUGCUUGUCCCAGGGCUGCGGAGAGCAGCAGGACUCAUCCUGUAGCCCAUGGGGCUUUUAGAGGCAGACAGAGAAGUGUGGGGUCCUCUUCCCAAGUGCUCAUAUUGGAGCUCUUCCCAAAGAGGAGAUGCUGGGACAAGUGCUUGGAUCGAAGCAGCAGCACGGGGUGAGCAGCUGCCUUGAGGAAGCAGCAAAGGGAGGAAAGCUGUUAAUCCUGAAACCUAACGAUGGAGAUAGAGUGGCAGCAGGAAAGGAAAAGCUCUCUGACAGCAGCACUGUGUCGGAUCGAACGUUUCUGGCUCAGGAUCCUGUCUCAAUUUGUGGAGAACAAGGACAGCCCCAGAUUGGGAUGGAGCAAAGCAGACAGCC